UCAGUCGUGUGCUCUUCCAUCUGCCAGGGGAAGGAAUCCAUGAGAAGUGAAAUUAAAUUUUGUGUCAACUGCGGCUCCUUGGCAGCGGGUGGUUCUUGUGACUACAAGAGGUCCUCUGUUUGUGGGGCCUCGUAAUGCCCCGGUGAUGGCUGUCCUGGGGUGCCUGGCAGAAUCAGCCCUCCACCUACCCUGGGACCUGCUGCAGGGC
This is a non-coding RNA of Vicugna pacos (alpaca), 208 nucleotides long. The record is from RefSeq and is a predicted model, not a curated record. NCBI's taxonomy places the organism in Eukaryota, Metazoa, Chordata, Mammalia, Artiodactyla, Camelidae.